Molecule: long non-coding RNA, 391 nt
Filed under: Gallus gallus (chicken)
Lineage: Eukaryota; Metazoa; Chordata; Aves; Galliformes; Phasianidae
Source: RNAcentral
GGAGGGCUCACAGGCUGACGUCUCCGUUCAGGUUGGUGUUGUAUGUGUCCCAGAUCCUCCUGACAGUCCUGUAACAUGGGCUGGAGUUCUUCCUGGGGAGAAGGGGUGAGAGUGGCAGUUGACUGAUGACUAUAGGAGACUGCGGCUGGAGAGGAAGCUGCUCCUCGGACAGGUGGAGUAGGACCUCGCUCAUCUUCUUCCUCUUCCUCUAGCUCAUCUUGCUGCAGAUACAUCCUUGCAGGUGGGACUGGACAUGGAAUUUCUUGGUCAUAGCUAAAAUUAUUUUUUUAAGAAAAUAAGGACUUAUAUUUUUACUGUGUAAUUAGCAUAUUUGAUACAUGUAUAAAUAGCUCAGGGAAAAAAAAUAUUUAUUAUAUGCACUCUUGAAAAC